This 482-nucleotide ribosomal RNA is filed under the name uncultured bacterium. RNAcentral's name for it is "bacterial SSU rRNA". It matches the Rfam family "Bacterial small subunit ribosomal RNA", at positions 501 to 986 of the family's 1533-position model. The record is from RNAcentral.
CUACGUGCCAGCAGCCGCGGUAAUACGGAAGGUCCAGGCGUUAUCCGGAUUUAUUGGGUUUAAAGGGAGUGUAGGCGGUCUGUUAAGCGUGUUGUGAAAUUUAGGUGCUCAACAUCUACCUUGCAGCGCGAACUGGCGGACUUGAGUGCACGCAACGUAUGCGGAAUUCAUGGUGUAGCGGUGAAAUGCUUAGAUAUCAUGACGAACUCCGAUUGCGAAGGCAGCGUACGGGAGUGUUACUGACGCUUAAGCUCGAAGGUGCGGGUAUCGAACAGGAUUAGAUACCCUGGUAGUCCGCACGGUAAACGAUGGAUGCCCGCUGUUAGCGCCUGGCGUUAGCGGCUAAGCGAAAGCAUUAAGUAUACCACCUGGGGAGUACGCCGGCAACGGUGAAACUCAAAGGAAUUGACGGGGGCCCGCACAAGCGGAGGAACAUGUGGUUUAAUUCGAUGAUACGCGAGGAACCUUACCCGGGCUUGAAC